Molecule: ribosomal RNA, 253 nt
Filed under: uncultured bacterium
Lineage: Bacteria
Description: partial 16S ribosomal RNA
Rfam family: Bacterial small subunit ribosomal RNA
Source: RNAcentral
UACGUAGGGGGCUAGCGUUGUCCGGAAUCAUUGGGCGUAAAGAGCGUGUAGGCGGUCCGGUAAGUCCGUUGUGAAAGUCAAGGGCUCAACCCUUGAAUGCCGGCGGAUACUGUCGGGCUAGAGUCCGGAAGAGGCAAGUGGAAUUCCCAGUGUAGCGGUGAAAUGCGCAGAUAUCGGGAGGAACACCUAUGGCGAAGGCAGCUUGCUGGGACGGUACUGACGCUGAGGAGCGAAAGCGUGGGGAGCGAACAGG